CGAUGGACAACGGGUUGAUAUUCCCGUACCCGCUAUGACGCGCCAAUGCCGAACCCAGUGAUGCUAAGCGCCUGAAGCCGGCCGAGUCUUCGGACGAGGUCGGUGGAGCGCGCGAACCGAACUGGUAGUAGGCAAGCGAUGGGGUGACGCAGGAAGGUAGUCCAACCGCGGCGAUGGUUGACCGCGGGUAAGAGUGUAGGGCGGCAGAUAGGCAAAUCCGUCUGCCACAUGCCUGAGACUUGAUGCCGAGCCGAUAAAGGCGAAGUGGAUGAUCCUAUGCUGCCGAGAAAAGCCUCUAGCGAGUGUCAUGGCGGCCCGUACCCCAAACCGACUCAGGUGGUCAGGUAGAGAAUACCAAGGCGAUCGAGUGAACUGUGGUUAAGGAACUCGGCAAAAUGCCCCCGUAACUUCGGGAGAAGGGGGGCCGCGGGUGGUGUAGGAGCUUGCCUCCGAAGCUGCCUACGGCCGCAGAGACCAGUGGGAAGCGACUGUUUACUAAAAACACAGGUCCGUGCGAAGUCGCAAGACGAUGUAUACGGACUGACGCCUGCCCGGUGCUGGAACGUUAAGGGGACCGGUUAGACCUUCGGGUCGAAGCUGAGAACUUAAGCGCCAGUAAACGGCGGUGGUAACUAUAACCAUCCUAAGGUAGCGAAAUUCCUUGUCGGGUAAGUUCCGACCUGCACGAAUGGCGUAACGACUUCCCAACUGUCUCAACCACAGACUCGGCGAAAUUGCACUACGAGUAAAGAUGCUCGUUACGCGCAGCAGGACGGAAAGACCCCGGGACCUUUACUAUAGCUUGAUAUUGGUGUUCGGUACGGCUUGUGUAGGAUAGGUGGGAGACUGUGAAGUCGGCACGCCAGUGUCGGUGGAGUCAACGUUGAAAUACCACUCUGGUCGUUCUGGAUGUCUAACCUAGGUCCGUGAUCCGGAUCAGGGACAGUGUCUGGUGGGUAGUUUAACUGGGGCGGUUGCCUCCCAAAAGGUAACGGAGGCGCUCAAAGGUUCCCUCAGCCUGGUUGGCAAUCAGGUGUCGAGUGCAAGUGCACAAGGGAGCUUGACUGUGAGACAGACAUGUCGAGCAGGUGCGAAAGCAGGAACUAGUGAUCCGGCGGUGGCUUGUGGAAGCGCCGUCGCUCAACGGAUAAAAGGUACCCCGGGGAUAACAGGCUGAUCUUGCCCAAGAGUCCAUAUCGACGGCAUGGUUUGGCACCUCGAUGUCGGCUCGUCGCAUCCUGGGGCUGGAGUAGGUCCCAAGGGUUGGGCUGUUCGCCCAUUAAAGCGGUACGCGAGCUGGGUUUAGAACGUCGUGAGACAGUUCGGUCCCUAUCCGCUGUGCGCGCAGGAGACUUGAGAAGGGCUGUCCCUAGUACGAGAGGACCGGGACGGACGAACCUCUGGUGUGCCAGUUGUUCCGCCAGGAGCACGGCUGGUUGGCUACGUUCGGAAGGGAUAACCGCUGAAAGCAUCUAAGCGGGAAGCUCGCUUCAAGAUGAGGUCUCCCACAGGGUUAACCUGGUAAGGCCCCCAGUAGACGACUGGGUUGAUAGGCCGGAGGUGGAAGUGCGGCAACGCAUGGAGCUGACCGGUACUAAUAGGCCGAGGACUUGACC
This 1616-nucleotide ribosomal RNA is filed under the name sediment metagenome. Its description in RNAcentral is "bacterial LSU rRNA". It matches the Rfam family "Bacterial large subunit ribosomal RNA", at positions 1416 to 2925 of the family's 2925-position model. The record is from RNAcentral.